UCACAUAAGCACCUCUCCUCUUUCUUCCUCCAAAACGCAAAAGUCAAUACCAAGAACUCUAAUUUCUUCAUCCAACUACACCACCCAUCACCAUUGACAGUCCCUCCUUCCAUAUUCAAAGAUUGCAGACCUCGAGCUUGAUUUGUUGACUUUGGAUUAGAUAAAAAUCUCAACCAAAUCUAAUCCGAAUCGGAGGAUAUCACAUCGAAUCCGAAUUUUCGGAGGUAGGUUCUCAUCUUGCUUGUUUUUUCUUCCAUUCUCUCCAAUCAAUCUCUCAUCUCCCGCUCAAACGACUAUUUGAAUUCAAGCCUUUAUUUUUGCUAUAAAUACAUGGUAUUGGUGUCAUUUAGAGGAGACACACGGAGACAAAAAAAUAGGGGACAAACAGAGGAUUGAAAUUUGAAGGUUGGAGAAUAGUAUUCCCUGAAAUUGAACCCACGAAGGUUUGAGCCUCGAAUUUUCAAUUUUCUUUCAAGUUCUUUGGAUCAUCUGUUGGUGGCGGUCAGUGGUAGUAGGAAGCUCUUCAACUCGUUUGUCUCAGUCGCUGCCCUAAAAAAGGUAAAACCUGUUUCUCUUCUUACUGUUCUGUUAACUUCAGGUGCACCUGGGUUAUUGUGUUUGAAGUUAUGUGUGGUAUUAUAAGUUUUCUCAUCGAGCUCUGUAAUUGUUUCUCUCAUGUUGUGAUUAUAGGAUGAGUGUGUGUUGCCGUUUAUUUCUUGUUUUCACAUAUGAGUUUGCAAUUCUCUUUCCAGAAUGUGUUAUGUUUCUUUCAUAUUGUUAGCUUUCCCUUGCUGUUUAAGAACCGGGAAAGGUUGAUUAUUUCUUUUUAGGAAUUGUUGUUUGAUUGUUGUAUUAGGAUUUGGUAUCAUGGAUUUAUAUAAAUGUUAGCCUAAUCUCGUGUUAUGGAUAGAUUUAGUUGAGUUCUUGUUCCAACUGCUUAGAAUGCAUUCAGUUUCAAUAAUAAAUAAGUUUCGGUUCGGUUUGUGUCGAAGAUGAUUUUCUGACUAGAACUGUUACUAUUCUUAUUUUCUGGCCUGCAUAACGGCAUUUUGUUGAAGUUUGAAACUGCUACACCUGUAUUAGUUAAGUCGUAGUCACUAUGCAUAUGCAUUAAUAACCAGUAUUCGAUGCCAUGUUUUUUCGCUCUUUCACUCUAAAUAUGGGAAUCAUGAUACACAUAGCUAUUUAAACUAAUUUUGUGUCUUUGCUAUUCUUUGUACCAAAACUAUUUCACUUGAAUGCUGCUAAACCCGCUUACUGCUGUUCAUAUGAUAUUAUCACUUAUAAUUUAUCCACUCUUAUUGCUAAUGAAUAAUCUUUGCCAUUGUGCAUACUGUACUCGUCAAAUGUUUGUCAUGUGCAUAUAAAGUUGUCUUGUUUGUUCAUUCCAUAAAGUAGUAUUGCUAAUGAAUAAUUUUUUCCAGUGUGCAUACUUUACUUAUCAAAUGCUUGCCAUGUGCAUAAAGUUGUCUUGUUUGAUAAUUCCAUAAAGUAGGACUUACUUUAGUGGUCCAUGUUUAUUUUCCUUUUACAUUUGUUGAAGUGAUUUUUUUUCCCUUCAAUUAAAAGAUGAAAUAAAAUUGGUGACCUAUUUAAUAUUAAUUACGUGAAUUACUACUUAGUUUCUUUGCUUGUGAUUUGAAUAUUAUGCUAAGUUUUUAUUUUUUUUAUUUUUAUUUUUGUAUCUUGUCCAACUCUAAUUCCUCUUCUUUUACUUUUGUUUGAUUUAUGGUAUGUUGGCGGAGUCCAAGUUGGACCCAAUUCCUAUUUCUUGCAUUCUCCGUCUUAUCAAGUCAACCGCAUAAUCGGAACCACGUGGAGUUCGGGAAGAGAAUGCAUGUCGUAAGGGAAGCUGAAACAGGUGUCGGAUUACAGAAAAAUGGGUUGUAUACAUCCGAUAUACACUGAUAUACAUCAGACGUAUGCGAAAAGGGAAUUGAGCCAAGAGCCCAAAUCAACAACGAGUUUGGCCCAAAAAGGGCCCAAAUUCAUCUUCUCCUUUAUUCUCCUAGAUUAUUUAAUUGUGAUUACUUAUUGUUAGUUUUUUUUUAUUAACUCUAACUUUAAAUAACUUAAUUGAACUCCCCAAAGGAUGAACUAUUUUCUUUGUGUUGGUUUACUUUAAUAAAUUUUAUUUUAUUCAACUCUUGCACCCUUAUUUACUUAUUCAAAUGGUUUCAAUUCAAAACUUUCACUUAGUUUAAAUUGAUUUCUUGGUUUAUCGACUAAAUUAGUUCAAAUUAUUAUGAGUCAAAUAGAUUUUAAUUAAUCUAGUUUGUUAAAAUUUUUAUCACUUGCAUUUAAUUCAAAUGUUUCAUUUAGGNNNNNNNNNNNNNNNNNNNNNNNNNNNNNNNNNNNNNNNNNNNNNNNNNNNNNNNNNNNNNNNNNNNNNNNNNNNNNNNNNNNNNNNNNNNNNNNNNNNNCAAAUUACCAAACUCAACCAUACCCAAAAUUCCAAACGCCAACACUUCCCCGCCAAAAUCCUUUAAAUUACCGUCAAGUACCUCCACCUCCACAAAAUAACUAUGACCUUCCUCGUCCAAACUUUGAAAGGAAACCUCCCAGAAUUUUCACUCCUCUCAUUGAAAGCUGAACUAAGUUGUUCGAAAGAUUGAAAGUUGCAGGCAUGCUUCAUCCCAUCGAACCUAAACCUGUCAACACAAACUCCAAAUUCUUUAGAGUUGAUCAGAUAUGUGCAUAUCACUCCAAUAGUGUAGGACAUACCACCGAAGAUUGCAUCAACCUGAAGCAUAAGAUUCAAGACUUAAUUGAUCACAAGGUGGUCACCCUUCAGACUGCCUCUCCUAAUGUGCAUAGUAAUCCUCUACCAAAUCAUGGGGGAGAUACUAUUAAUAUGAUUGAAAUAGAAAAUGAUUGGGGUGCUGCUAAGACGAUAGUCCCAUCGAAUCUUGACAGUCUUGAGAAGGCUGUAGCCUCUCUAAGCAUAAGCAAGAAGCCCGAGUUCAUGAUAAAAACACUCCAUCAAGCUUUUGUUUUAGGGCCAAAGAAGGGCCUUACUUCAUCAAGCUUUUACUGCCCAUCUAAAAACUUUUGUUUUGAGAAAGAGUUUGUGAUAAUGGCACCUCAUCAAGCUUUUACUUCAGUGCCAAAGAAAGGCCUUACCAAGAAAGAGUUUGUGAUCGAGACCGCUACUGCCCAUGGUAUGACUAGAUCUGGUAGAUGUUAUACACCAGAAGAAUUGACUCAAGGAUGCCACAAGAGAGACCACCAGAAAAGACAAUCAGUGAAGCUGAAGCCAGGGAGUUUUGGCGGAGAAUGCAGCCUAAAAAGUAUUCCAUCAUGAAACAUUUGGAGAAGACACCUGCUCAAAUUUCUGAGUGGGCAUUAUUGAUGAGUUCACAGCAACACAGACAUGCUUUGUUAAAGGCUUUGAAUGAGACUCACGACCGGUGGGGACAAACAGCGAUAAUCUCACAGCCAUGGUAAGUAAAUUCAUCGGGGGCCAUCGUGUUAGUUUUAGCGAUGAAGAGUUGCCUUGUGAAGGGGUGAUGCAUAACAAAACCUUGCACAUCACAAUCAAGUGUCGGGACAAGAUUGUGAAUCCUAUUCUGAUAGAUGACGGAUUUGGACUUAAUAUUUACCCAUUGUCGACUCUCAAGCAACUGAAUUUUGAUCUUGGGAAGAUUAGUCAGAACCAAGUCAAUGUGAGAGCUUUCAACGGGGGUCAAAGAGAAACAUUGGGCGCUGUUAGUCUGGGUAUUGAAGUAGGACCUACAGGUUUCAUUGUAGAGUUUCAGGUGAUGGACAUCACCACUAGCUACAACCUUUUACUCGGAAGACCUUGGAUCCAUAUGGCUGGGGCCGUGCCCUCUACCCUCCAUCAGUUAAUGAAGUUUGUGUGGAACGAUCACGAAGUAGUCAUUCAUGGUGAAGGAAGACAUUCGAAUGACUAUGCCCCAAUUGUCGACAAUGUGGCUAGAGGUUCUGACUUCUAUACAGUAGAGAUAGUGAAUGCUACCAAUGAUAAUUUGGCCUCACAUCCCCCUAUGCCUUCCAUUUACAAGAUGAUAGGCACUUUGAUGUUAAGAAGUGAAUUUGAACCUGGUUUUGGAUUGGGAAAAUAUUUGCAAGGUAUCACUGAGCCUAUUCAAAUUUUCACAAAAAGUUCAAAGUUUGGCUUGGGAUACAUCCCAAUAGCAGAUGAUGAGGCGGGAGCUUCGAGUAACAAGGUGGUUGAUUGGGAAUUAGCAAAACCGGUACCUCAUUUAUACCAGUCUUUUCCAGUGCGAGAAUAUGUCAAUAAUGAUGGUCUCAGAGAGGGAAUCAGGAAUCUUUUUGAAGAAUCUGAUGAUGUGCUUGAGGAGAUGAUCGAGACAUCUGGCAUUCGAGAUGCCAAACCAGAAGAGCAAGUGCCUAACUGGACAUCCACACAACUCCUGGUUCCUCACUUGUCUUGGUAGACAAAGAUAUAUCUAUUUUACUUAUUUAUAAAAUUGGUGGUAGUCUGAAUGAGGCCUAAGACCCGCCCUUUAUGUCGUUUUACCUCUUUAAGCUUUAAUUUCCCUCGUGAUGUUUAAAAAGGCAAAUUGGCCUAUGUUCAUGGCCAAAGUUUGUACUUUCUUUUAAUCUAAAUGAAAGCCUUCUCUAUUGCUUAAAUCUAUUUAUUCACAACUUACUAAUUUAUUUAUCUGACAUGGCUUAUUUAUGAUUUCAGUAAAAAUAACUUAAAACCUGUCAAUAUCAUGUCAUGUCAUAAGCUGAGUGAGCAAAAUGAGACAGAUGAGAAUGAGUUUGAGGAAUAUGAUGAAGAGACCAUGGUUCCAGAACACCUCGCAGAAGAAUUGAAACAGUUUGAGAAUCAAGAGAAGCCAAAUUUAGAGGAGACUGAGACCGUGAACCUGGGAGAUGAAGAAAGUGUUAAAGAAACCAGGAUCAGUGUCCAUCUCACAGAAACUCAGAAAGAAGAGCUCAUCAGUUUGCUUAAACAGUACAUCAAUGUAUUUGCUUGGUCUUAUGAUGAUAUGCCUGGAUUGAGCACAAAUAUUGUUUCUCACACGUUGCCGAUCAAUCCAGAUUUCAGUCCGGUAAAGCAGAAAAGUCGAAAGUUCAAGCCAGAUUUGAGUUUGAGAAUCAAAGAAGAAGUUACCAAACAAAUUCAAGCCAAGGUUGUGGAGGUUACUAAGUAUCCAACUUGGUUAGCCAAUAUUGUUCCAGUGCCUAAGAAAGAUGGUAAAAUUAGAAUAUGUGUUGAUUAUAGAAAUCUCAAUAAAGCCAGUCCCAAAGACAAUUUUCCAUUGUCGAAUAUCCACAUUCUCAUUGAAAAUUGUGCUAAGCAUGAAAUGCAAUCAUUUGUGGAUUGCUUUGCGGGUUAUCAUCAGAUUUUGAUGGAUGAAAAAGAUGCUGAAAAGACGACUUUCAUUACACCAUGGGGUGUUUAUCAUUAUCGGGUAAUUCCAUUUGGUCUUAAGAAUGCCGGGGCCACAUACAUGAGAGCCAUGACAGCUAUCUUCCAUGAUAUGAUCCAUAAGGAGAUUGAAGUAUACGUGGAUGACGUAAUCAUCAAGUCCCGCAAGAGUUCAGAUCACUUGACCCAUUUGAGAAAGUUCUUUGAUCGAUUGCGUCAAUACAACUUGAAGCUGAAUCCCGCUAAAUGUGCUUUUGGAGUACCCACUAGUAAAGUAUUGGGUUUCAUAGUUAGUAGAAGAGGCAUUGAGUUUGAUCCUACCAAAGUCAAGGCGAUUCAGGAUUUACCACCUCCGAAGUCUAAGAAAGAAGUUAUGAGUUUCCUUGGAAGAUUGAACUACAUAAGUCGAUUCAUAGCUCAAUCCACGGUAGUUUGCGAGCCCAUCUUUAAGUUGUUGAAAAAAGAUGCACUAACGGUGUGGACCGAAGAGUGUCAAAAAGAUUUCGAUACUAUCAAAGAUUAUUUGAGAAAUCCACCAGUAUUGGUACGUCCGCGAGAAGGAAGUCCAUUGUUACUAUACUUGUCCGUCUCAGAAAAUGCAUUCGGGUGUGUAUUAGGACAACAUGAUGAAACUGGAAAGAAAGAACGCGCGAUCUACUAUCUUAGCAAGAAGUUUACUCCAUAUGAGGCUCGGUAGACUCUAUUGGAAAGAACAUGCUGUGCUUUGACUUGGAUCUCCCAAAAGCUGAGGCAUUAUUUGUCUUCAUAUACUACAUAUCUUAUUUCCAAGAUGGAUCCAUUGAAGUAUAUUUUCCAGAAAGCUAUGCCGACUGGAAAACUGGCGAAAUGGCAAAUGCUUCUGAGCGAGUUUGACAUUGUGUAUGUUACUCAAAAAGCGGUAAAAGGACAAGCAUUGGCCGAUCAUCUUGCAGAAAAUCCAAUCGACGAAGAAUAUGAACCGCUCAAAACAUACUUUCCUGACGAAGAUGUGUUGUUCAUAGGAGAAACCAUUUCUGAGUCAUACCCUGGUUGGAUGGUAUUCUUUGAUGGAGCGGUGAACUGUAAUGGAGCUGGAAUUGGAGCGGUUCUAAUAUCGAAAUCCGGUCAACAUUACCCCGUGGCGGCUAAACUUCGAUUUCAUUGCACCAAUAAUAUGGCAAAAUACGAGGCUUGCGUUCUUGGCAUAAUGUUAGCCAUCGACAUAAAUGUCCAAGAGUUGCUGGUAAUUGGAGAUUCAGACUUGUUAAUUCACCAGGUUCAAGGGGAAUGGACCGUGAAGAAUCCAAAGAUUGUUCCAUAUGUACAAUUGGUGCAAAGAUUGUGCAAAAGAUUUCGAAAGAUAGAGUUUAUGCACACUCCAAGGUUGCAAAAUGAAUUUGCUGAAGCUCUUGCCACUAUCUCCUCUAUGAUCAAGAAUCCAGAUCAGAAUUACAUCGACCCUUUGGAGAUAGAUUUAAAGGAACAACCCGCUCAUUGUUCGCAUGUCGAAGCGGAACCAGACAGAAAGCCUUGAUAUUAUGAUAUAAAGAAGUACCUGGAGACUGGAAUUUAUCCAGAAGAUGCGACAUCCAAUCAAAAGAAGGCAAUACGUCGAUUGGCUAACAAUUUAUUUCCAAGUGGGGAAAUCCUUUAUAGGAGGACUCUAUAUUUGGGACUCCUCAGGUGCGUAGAUUCCAUGGAAGCUACAAGACUUCUUGAUGAGGUACAUGCUGGAGUCUGUUGACCUCAUAUGAACGGGCUUACUUUGGCAAAAAAGAUCAUUCGAGCUAGUUAUUUUUGGAUGACUAUGGAGCAUUAUUGUUGUAGAUUUGUGCAAAAGUGUCAUAAAUGCCAAGUACAUGGUGAUUUGAUCCGAGUACCCCUUCAUGAACUUAAUGUUAUGGGAUCGCCUUGGCCAUUCGUGGCCUGGGGCAUGGAUGUUAUUGGCCCAAUUGAGCCAGCCGCCUCUAAUGGACAUAGAUUUAUUUUUGUUUCCAUUGAUUACUUCACCAAGUGGGUGGAAGCAAACUCUUAUAAAUCUGUGACGAAGAAGGUAGUAGCUGAUUUCAUUCGUAACAACUUGAUAUGUCGAUUUGGACUACCUGAUUCCAUUAUUACAGACAAUGGUGCAAACCUCAAUAGUUAUUUGAUGAAGGAGAUAUGUGAGCAAUUCAAGAUUACUCACCGAAAUUCGACUGCUUAUCGUCCUCAAAUGAAUGGAGCCGUAGAAGCUGCCAAUAAGAACAUCAAAAAGAUUUUGAGAAAGAUUAUUGAUAAUCACAGAGGUUGGCAUGAGAUGUUACCAUAUGCUUUGUUGGGAUACCGAACAACCGUUAGAACAUCAAUCGGAGCAACUCCAUACUUGCUAGUAUAUGGGACAGAAGCAGUGAUACCUGCUAAAGUUGAAAUACCUUCAUUGAGGAUCAUUCAAGAAGUUGAACUGAGCAAUGCUGAUUGGGUUCGUAAUAGGAUUGAACACUUAGCCUUAAUUGAUGAAAAAAGGAUGACCGCUGUUUGUCAUGGCCAAUUAUAUCAAUAGAGAAUGAUUCGUGCUUUCAACAAAAAAGUCAGAUCUCGCACAUUUGAAGAAGGACAAUUGGUCCUCAAACGGAUCUUCCCCCAUCAAGAUGAGUAUAAGGGAAAAUUUGCACCAAAUUGGCAAGGACCGUACAUGGUUCGUAAAGUGUUAUCUAGAGGUACUUUGAUCCUGUCAGGGAUGGAUGGCCAAGAGUGGCCAAAACCAAUCAACUCAGAUGCUGUCAAGAGAUACUACGUCUAAAAAUUAGGUCUAAAAAUUUGACCUGAUUCCUGCCUCAACGGGAUACGUAGGCGCCACAACGGAUCGGUCAUACACCCCAUAGAAUUUCCAUUUCUCUUUAUAAUGGAAACUGGGGCAGAAAUUUGAGAGGAGCUCAAAAAUUCUAAAGAUCAUUCGUCAGCAAGACAGGAUUGAACAUGCAUUAGGAAAAGGCAACUAAGGCGUAAUUUUUUAGAAGAUCUCCAAAAAUUCUACAAGUCUUCCUACCAAAGAUUUGAGAAAUGACAAGACAUUUCACUGGGGCAGAAUUUUUGAGAAGAUCUCAAAAAUUCCGCAAGUCUUCCUACCAAAGACUUGAGAGAUGCCAAGAAAUUUCACUGGGGCAGAAUUUUUGAGAAGAUCUCAAAAAUUUUGUCAAGUACUGUCAGAAGUUCAAAGUUAACGACAAAUAAUCUCUAGCAUGAUCAGAGGCUCAUGAACCCAAAUAUCUCAGAAAUUCAAAGUCAAACUUCAAUUAUCUUCUGAUUUCCCCAGCUUAAAAGGACUUUUAGAUUGGAUAUAUCGAAACUUGAACUGAAGUGUUCACUUAAGCUUUAAUGUGACAUGACACUUGGCAGUGACCCUCAUCAAAUUACUUUUCAAAAAACCAUUUUUUUCUUAAAACUUUAUACAUCUAUCAAAUAUUUUAUAUAAAAUAUAGAUCUACUUUAUGUCUACCAAGAAGCGGGAAGCUAGAAGCAAUCAACCAAUGAUAGCAAGAGGAAGAUCAAGCAAUCAAAGAAGUCAACACAUAUUAGUUCACUUAAAACUAAUAAAUUUUCUGUGGAUGCAGGUUUACAAGGAUAUCAAGAUAAUCAUGUUCAACAAAUAUGGGAAAGUCAGAACAGCAAAAGCGCCCAAGACUAACAUUUCUUUAUGCAGGAAAAGGCAUUGAUAUUCAUCCGAUAAAAGUAGUUAACUUAGUAUUUUGAACAACAAUUUCUUGUAUAUAUUUUCAAAAAAAAUAGUAGCCACAACGAAGAUACAAGUGGUCAAAGAAAAAGUAGGUGAAAGCAUCGAGAGGGUGGCACUUUAAGAUUUAUAAAUGACUAUAAUAACGGCAUAUUGCAUUUUCCAGCGUCAAAGACGUCUGAAGGGCACACGUAAGACACAUCAAAUAUCGAAAAGAAUUUGAAGUGCAACUUGCCAAAAAUAUUCAUUAUCACGUUAAAGUCUAAAGAGGCUAACGUUGAAGGAUAUUUGUAAGUCACAUCGAUACUAGAUACAGCGAUGUGCAUUGUCGAGAGGGACAUCAAUAUUAUAUUACUAAAGGUAGUACUAUCAUUGCCAAAAGGGCCAUCCAUAUUAUAUUAUCGGAGGUGAUAAUAUCAACGCCAAGAGGGCCAUUACAUAAUCAAAUGCUAAGAGGGCCAUUGCAUUUUCCAUUGCCAAGAGGGCCAUUACAUCUUCAAACACCAAGAGGGCCAUUACAUAAUCAAACGCUAAGAGGGCCAUUGCAUCUUCCAUUGCCAAGAGGGCCAUUGCAUCUUCAAACGCCAGGAGAGCCAUCGUGCAUUCAAAAUGCCAAGAGGGUCAUUACAUAUUCAAAUGCCAAGAGGGCCACUGCAUCUUCCAUUGCCAAGAGGGCCAAUACAUCUUCAAACGCCAGGAGAGCCAUCGUGCAUUCAAAAUGCCAAGAGGGACAUUGCAUCUUCAAACGCCAAGAGGACUAUUACAUAAUCAAAUGCAAAAAAUGCCAUGUCAUCUUCCAAUGCCAAGAGGGCUAUUACAUAUUCAAACCACUGAGAGAGUCAUCCGUAUUAUAUUAUCAAAUGUGAUAAUAUCAUUGCUGAAUAGAUCAACAUCAUCCUACCGAUAGACCAUCAUCGUUUUACCAAUCAAGCUUCGACAACAUUGGAUCAAUAUCAUCCUGCCAAUGGAUCGUCAAUGUAGCAACAUCUUCUUAUCAAUGGAGCGUGCACAUCUUCAUCAUAAAUGUAGCAGCAUCAUCCUAUCAAUAAAAGCAUCCAAGAGGAUGAAUUCUCGAAUCGAACCACAGGUGCGGACGAUAUCAAAAAGGAUGCAGCACAACGUGGAACUUUUUCUUAGCAGCGAGCUGGGACAUAGACCGAAGAGGAGUAUCAAACUCUUAGGACGCGAGCUGAGGAGCGACUUCCAGCACAAUCAAGCCACACCCCUAUCAAAAGGCAUGUGGGCAUUUCCUUGGGUUUAUCAGUUCCAAUUUCGCAUCCGGAAAACUUUACACUCUCACCGGAGUCAGCUUUCCAAUAUGAGUGACAAUGCACCAAGAGCUUUGAAAAUUAUGUUCGUGUAAGUUCUUAAUUAUGGGUGUGAAGCGCGCCACAUUCAUGGUUAAGAGGUCGCAAGCCUCUUUUUCAUGCUCGACUUACUUGUCACUCUUCUAGAACCAAAGGUUAUUUAGCAUAAUAGAUUUCCUUUUCAACCGAUCGAGUCGAACUACAAAUAGCCUGAUUCCUUGAGUUGAAGGAUAUGUAGGCGGGCUCAAUGUUGAAAACUCAGUUGCAUUCCGACAUUCUCUCUUAAAUCUUAUUCUCAAGGAUUUCGGUCUCUUCAUAAUUAGAUAUCGGGAUAGCUUUUGAAUUCUUUUAUAAUCGUGCAUCAAAUCAAGCGUAUCAAACUACAAGUGACCUGAAUUCUCAUAUAGCCUGAGAUAUGUAGGAAACUCAAUGUUAGGGUCCGGCAAUAAUUCCUCAAAAAAUCCAUAUCGAGUCUUGCUUUUAAAGAGAUGACAGGGGGUUUAGUCAAAAUUUGAUUCGUCAAUCUUCUUUGUCCAAGUUCUCUUUCAUCGACCCUACGCAAAGAAUGGGGCAGUUGUUGACACCCAAUUUUUACCCUAUGCAAUUCGAGUUAACUAUCGAGCUUCUUCAAUUUCAAACAAUUUGAAAUAAUCGCCUUUGAAAAAUCUUUAAAAAAUAUAUAUUUUAAAAUCUCUUUCUGUUUAGUUUUGGUUAGUAUUUUUCAGAAAUAAUUAUAUAAUUUUACAUGUUGGUUUAUGUUAUUUUGGUCUUUUAUAUAAAUAUUUAAUAAAUAGCCUAAAAAAUAAUGUUUAUCAUAAUUACGCAUUAGUUAAUUUUAUAAUUUUGUAUAAUUAGUUCUCUAUUUUAAAGCAAUAAAUAAGUUUUGAUAAUUAUUUUAUCUUGUUUAAAUUACGAAGCUCAAAUAAUUAAUCGAUAAUUAUUCAUCUUAUUUUAAUUUUGUCCAAUUUUGUUAAUUGACUCAAAUUGAUUAGACCUAACUCAAAUUGGUUAAAUUAGAAACUAAAUGUCCAAUUUUUAAAUAAAAUGGACCAUCAUUUUGAUUUAUAUACUCUCCCACACUCUCUCUCUUUUCCCUUUUUCCAGGCCUCACAUAAGCUCCUCUCCCCUUUCUUCUUCCUCCAAAACGCAAAAGUCAAUAUCAAGAACUCUAAUUUCUUCAUCCAACUACACCACCCAUCACCAUUGACAGUCCCUCCUUCCAUAUUCAAAGAUUGUAGACCUCGAGCUUGAUUUGAUGACUUUGGAUUAGAUAAAAAUCUCAACCAAAUCUAAUCCGAAUCGGAGGAUAUCACAUCGAAUCCAAAUUUUCGGGGGUAAGUUCUCAUCUUGCUUGUUUUUUCUUCCAUUCUCUCCAAUCAAUCUCUCAUCUCCCGCUCAAAUGACUAUUUGAAUUCAAGCCUUUAUUUUUGCUAUAAAUACAUGGUAUUGGUGUCAUUUAGAGGAGACACACGGAGACAAAAAAAAAUGGGGACAAACAGAGGAUUGAAAUUUGAAGGUUGGAGAAUAGUAUUCCUUGAAAUCGAACCCACGAAGGUUUGAGCCUCGGAUUUUCAAUUUUCUUUCAAGUUCUUUGGAUCAUCUGUUGGUGGAGGUCAGUGAUAGUAGGAAGCUCUUCAACUCGUUUGUCUCAGUCGCUGCCCUCAAAAAGGUAAAACCUGUCUCUCUUCUUACUGUUCUGUUAACUUCAGGUGCACUUGGGUUAUUGUGUUUGAAGUUAUGUGUGGUAUUAUAAGUUUUCUCAUCGAGCUCUGUAAUUGUUUCUCUCAUGUUGUGAUUAUAGGAUGAGUGUGUGUUGCCGCUUAUUUCUUGUUUUCACAUAUGAGUUUGCAAUUCUCUUUCCAAAAUGUGUUAUGUUUCUUUCAUAUUGUUAACUUUCCCUUGCUGUUUAAGAACCUAGAAAGGUUGAUUUAUUUUUUUUAGGAAUUGUUGUUUGAUUGUUGUAUUAGGAUUUGGUAUCAUGGAUUUAUAUAAAUGUUAGCCUAAUCUCGUGUUAUGGAUAGAUUUAGUUGAGUUCUUGUUCCAACUGGUUAGAAUGCAUUCAAUUUCAAUAAUAAAUAAGUUUCGGUUCGGUUUGUGUAGAAGAUGAUUUUCUGACUAGAACUGUUACUAUUCUUACUUUUUGGCCCGCAUAACGGCAUUUUGUUGAAGUUUGAAACUGCUACACUUGUAUUAGUUAAGUCGUAGUCACUAUGCAUACGCAUUAAUAACCAGUAUUCGACGCCAUAUUUUUUCGCUCUUUCACUCUAAAUAUGGGAAUCAUGAUACAUAUAGCUAUUUAAACUAAUUUUGUGUCUUUGCUAUUCUUUGUCCCAAAACUAUUUCAUUUGAAUGCUGCUAAACCCGCUUACUGCUGUUCAUAUGCUAUUAUCACUUAUAAUUUAUCCAUUCUUAUUGCUAAUGAAUAAUCUUUGCCACUGUGCAUACUGUACUCGUCAAAUGUUUGCCAGGUGCAUAAAGUUGUCUUGUUUGUUAAUUCCAUAAAAUAGUAUUGCUAAUGAAUAAUUUUUGCCAGUGUGCAUACUUUACUUAUCAAAUGCUUGUCAUGUGCAUAAAGUUGUCUUGUUUGAUAAUUCCAUAAAGUAGGACUUACUUUAGUGGUCCAUGUUUAUUUUCCUUUUACAUUUGUUGAAGUGAAUUUUUUUUCCUUCUUCAAUUAAAAGAUAAAAUAAAAUUGGUGACCUAUUUAAUAUUAAUUAUGUGAAUUACUACUUAGUUUCUUUGCUUGUGAUUUGAAUAUUAUGCUAAGUUUUUAAUUUUUUAAUUUUUAUUUUUUGAUCUUGUCCAACUGUAAUUCCUCUUCUUUUACUUUUGUUUGAUUUAUGGUAUGUUGGCGGAGUCCAAGUUGGACCCAAUUCCUAUUUCUUGCAUUCUCCGUCUUAUCGAGUCAACUACAUAAUUGGAACCACGUGGAGUUCGGGAAGAGAAUACAUGUCGUAAGGGAAGCUGAAACAGGUCUCGGAUUACAGAAAAAUGGGUUGUAUACAUCCGAUAUACACUGAUAUACAUCAGAUGUAUACAAAAAGGGGAAUUGAGCCAAGUGCCCAAAUCAACAACGAGUUUGGCCCAAAAAGGCCCCAAAUUCAUCUUCUCCUUUAUUCUCCUAGAUUAUUUAAUUGUGAUUACUUAUUGUUAGUUUUUUUUAUUAACUCUAACUUUAAAUAACUUAAUUGAACUCCCCAAAGGAUGAACUAUUUUCUUUGUGUUGGUUUACUUUAAUAAAUUUUAUUUUAUCAACUCUUGCACCCUUA
This 13629-nucleotide long non-coding RNA is filed under the name Solanum tuberosum (potato). RNAcentral describes it as "long non-coding RNA (STUB_LNC007997)". Lineage: Eukaryota; Viridiplantae; Streptophyta; Magnoliopsida; Solanales; Solanaceae. The record is from RNAcentral.